AUUGAACGCUGGCGGCAUGCCUUACACAUGCAAGUCGAACGGCAGCACGGGAGCAAUCCUGGUGGCGAGUGGCGAACGGGUGAGUAAUAUAUCGGAACGUGCCCAGUCGUGGGGAUAACGUAGCGAAAGCUACGCUAAUACCGCAUACGAUCUAUGGAUGAAAGCGGGGGAUCGCAAGACCUCGCGCGAUUGGAGCGGCCGAUAUCAGAUUAGGUAGUUGGUGAGGUAAAGGCUCACCAAGCCGACGAUCUGUAGCUGGUCUGAGAGGACGACCAGCCACACUGGGACUGAGACACGGCCCAGACUCCUACGGGAGGCAGCAGUGGGGAAUUUUGGACAAUGGGCGGCAAGCCUGAUCCAGCAAUGCCGCGUGCAGGAUGAAGGCCUCGGUUGUAACGUA
Molecule: ribosomal RNA, 400 nt
Filed under: uncultured bacterium
Lineage: Bacteria
Description: bacterial SSU rRNA
Rfam family: Bacterial small subunit ribosomal RNA
Source: RNAcentral